UACAGAGGAGCCAAGCGUUGUCCGGAUUGACUGGGCGUAAAGCGCACGCAGGCGGCCGCGCGCGUGGGGUGUGAAAUCUGGCCGCUUAACGGCCAGGCGCCAUCCCAUACGGCGCGGCUGGAGCCCUGCAGAGGGCGGUGGAAUUGCCGGUGUAGUGGUGAAAUGCGUAGAGAUCGGCAGGAACACCCAGGGGGAAACCAGCCGCCUGGGCAUGCGCUGACGCUGAGGUGCGAGAGCGUGGGGAGCGAACCGG
RNAcentral lists this ribosomal RNA (253 nucleotides) under uncultured bacterium. Its description in RNAcentral is "partial 16S ribosomal RNA". It matches the Rfam family "Bacterial small subunit ribosomal RNA", at positions 524 to 776 of the family's 1533-position model. The record is from RNAcentral.